Molecule: ribosomal RNA, 253 nt
Filed under: uncultured bacterium
Lineage: Bacteria
Description: partial 16S ribosomal RNA
Rfam family: Bacterial small subunit ribosomal RNA
Source: RNAcentral
UACGUAGGGUGCGAGCGUUGUCCGGAAUUAUUGGGCGUAAAGAGCUCGUAGGCGGUUUGUCACGUCUGCUGUGAAAUCCCGAGGCUCAACCUCGGGCCUGCAGUGGGUACGGGCAGACUGGAGUGCGGUAGGGGAGAAUGGAAUUCCUGGUGUAGCGGUGGAAUGCGCAGAUAUCAGGAGGAACACCGGUGGCGAAGGCGGAUCUCUGGGCCUUGCCUGACGCUGAGGCGCGAAAGCUAGGGGAGCGAACAGG